AACUGGCACCUGGCACCAGUCCACGCUCCAUAUUUUGGUCCGGACGGGGACUUGAACAGGCGACCCUCCGGUUCCCAACCCAAGUCCCUAUGGACUGAGCUACUGCCGCCCCAACCUUAGAUUGUUGUUACUUAGAUUGUUAGAUUGUUGUUACUGUAACAACAAUCUAACAUAGCUUUUAGAGAAUGAGUUGGAUGACACAUGCUUCAUGUUUCUGGGUGUGAUGCAACUUAGAGUGACAUGUAAACUCUCCUCCGUAGCUAUUUGUCUUUACUGACGGAGAGGUGGGGAACACCAAAGAAGUCAUCAAUCUGGUGAAGAAGAAUUCAGGUUCCCACAGGUGUUUCUCUUUUGGGAUUGGGGAAGGGGCCAGCUCUGCUCUUAUCAACGGGUUGGCCAAGGAAGGAGGAGGUCACGCUCAGUUCAUCACAGGGAAAGAGAGGAUGCAACCUAAAGUGAUGCAGUCGCUGCGAUUUGCUCUGCAACCAGCUGUGGUGGACGUCUCAGUCAAGUGGGAUGUGCCAAAGGGAGUCUCUGUCACUGCUCUCUCUCCACCAAUCACAGCACUUUUCCAGGGUCAGAGGUCACUGAUUUACGCCCAGCUGACU
Molecule: long non-coding RNA, 608 nt
Organism: Epinephelus moara (kelp grouper)
Lineage: Eukaryota; Metazoa; Chordata; Actinopteri; Perciformes; Serranidae
Exons: 3
Source: RefSeq, a predicted model, not a curated record